UGAGAAGGGGGAAACAUUUACCUACACUUGCUAGCACGAUCAGUUAUCUUAGUGAAGAAACCCACUUUGAUGAGAUGAUCGACAGCAAACCCAAGGAAACAUGCUAACAUUCUAUCAACACCUAUCGAGGCCGGAGAUCUCUUCGUGGCCCACGAUUCACUGGCUCCGGCCGUUUGAUUCCAGUUGCCUCCGGCUGCUGAAGCAUCUGAGGGCUAUCAUG
This 220-nucleotide unclassified non-coding RNA is filed under the name Hevea brasiliensis (rubber tree). Lineage: Eukaryota; Viridiplantae; Streptophyta; Magnoliopsida; Malpighiales; Euphorbiaceae. The record is from RNAcentral.